GGUUUUUUAGCGAUUUUUAAAAUAACAGUUUUUUCUGCUGAGUCGGUCCAAUCCGGUUGUCAGAACAUUGCUACCACCACCUCCUGCACCACCCACCACUACCACUAACCCCAUCCCUAAAUCACAUUCAUCUUUGUUUUUAUCUCUUUCUUCUUCACAAUUUUCCUCUUCCUCAACUCAUUCUGCACACUCUCCUCCAUAAUCUAACAUUUACACCGUUCAACUACAAUAAUAAUAUUUACAUAGUUCAGCAACAACAAUUGUAUGCAUUUUUUAAAAAAAUAAAAAAAUAGAUAUGAAGAUAGAAAAGAAGAAAUAGAGAGAAGAUGAGAGGGGCGGCUGAGAAGAAAAAGAAAAAAAAAACAGAGUGGUGGGGUAGAUGAGAAAAUAGAAGAGAAAAGAAAAAUAAAAGGAGAAAAGGGGAGUUCACUAGAGAAGAGGAAGAAGAAACUCGUUAGUGAUGAAAGCAACGAGUUACAGAGAGCACAGAGAAGAUAGUGGUCAAUAGUGUUGGAUAUUCGACGGCAAGCGUCGCAACUGAAGGAGGAAGAAGUGGUGGUCGUGUGGUGCUACCAAUGAUGAAGAAGAACAGAGGGAUGAUGAUGAUCUUGUUGUCGUUGGAGUUGUUGUUGUCACCAUAGAGAAAACAAAAGAAAGAAAAGAACAAAAAGGGAGAAGGUGAAGAUUAAAGAAGAGAAGUAAAGGAAGAAGAAGAAAAGGGAUGACAAAACAGGUGAAGAAGAAGGUUUGAAUAGAGAGUGAGAAAGUGAUAGAAUUAGAGAGGCUCUUAAGGGAGGAGAAAGAGAAAGAGGAUUUGCGGAUGAAGAAGAAGAGGGUCUGAUGAUGAUAGGAUUUAGGGUCAAACAAAGAGACUUUAUUCAAAAUUUAGCCCCUCAAGGUCGCAACUUUAAAGCCAAUGGUCAAUAUCAGCGCCAAAAUGGGAAUCAAUAGAAUGGUGAUUUUCUUGCUCAUAACAACAACAACAACCAUAACUAUUUUCUGGGACAGGAACGAGGAGGUGAACCUCAGGGUAUUUUGGUAUGCUCAAGUUGUGGGAAAAAUCAUGGUAACAGACCUUGUCAGUAUAGAACAAACAAUUGUUAUGCUUGUGGAGAACCUGGACAUAUGGCCAGGGCUUUUCCAAACAGGUUUGUUUAAGAUCCAGCUAGAACCCAACGAUUAGGAUGAAUAUCUGCCAUGACUGUUGAUGAUGCUCUGUACUCAGACUCCGUGAUCUAAGGAGGAAAAGUGCUUAAGGACCACCUAAGAGCAUAACCGAAUUUGGAGCAGCAAAACAAGAUGGAAGCAAGAGUACCUUUUCGUAGUUCGUUGAUGAUCGUUUCGCAAAGAGAAUUCUGCUCUAGGUAGCCUUCUGAGUCUAGAGUGAACUCCGUUAUCUGUUUAUAUGUAUAUACUAUGAGACCAGCCAACGUCUGCAGCCCGUUUGUAUGCGAGCUUUAACCUAAAUCCUGUGUACGAAACUCCUGUUAUGUGGUUACUUGAUGAGGUACCAGAGAGACGUCAUAUGACAAUGUCUGAUCGUGCAGAGGAGUAGUAGAUUAUGUUCCACCUUUUGAUGACGUUCCACCUGACUUGAGUUUUGAAGACUUAGAACGAACUUUCCCUCGCUUUAGUAGUUUAGAGGGAUUAUGUGAGUAUAGAGUUUAGGCUAGCCUGGGCGCCAACUUAGGAACUUCUUGAACAAGUCAGGGCCUGGGAUGUUGUAUGUAUAUAUAUGUAUAUAGUUAUUAUCUAGCUAUAUAUAGAGGUGUUCUAACUAAAAGUCUAUACUCUAA
This is a long non-coding RNA of Arachis stenosperma, 1796 nucleotides long. RefSeq lists it as uncharacterized. Lineage: Eukaryota; Viridiplantae; Streptophyta; Magnoliopsida; Fabales; Fabaceae. The record is from RefSeq and is a predicted model, not a curated record. The transcript has 3 exons.